AGUUUGAUCCUGGCUCAGGAUGAACGCUAGCGGCAGGCCUAACACAUGCAAGCCGAGGGGUUUUGUAGCAAUGUAAGACGACCGGCGCACGGGUGCGUAACGCGUAUGCAAUCUACCUAUCACACGGGGACAGGUCCCGGAAACGGGAAUUAAUAUCCGAUGGCGCAUUGAUACCGCAUGGUAUUGGAAGCUAAAGAUUUAUCGGUGAUAGAUGAGCAUGCGUGACAUUAGCUAGUUGGUGAGGUAACGGUUCACCAAGGCAACGAUGUCUAGGGGUUCUGCAAGGAAGAUCCCCCACACUGGUACUGAGACACGGACCAGACUCCUACGGGAGGCAGCAGUGAGGAAUAUUGGUCAAUGGGCGCGAGCCUGAACCAGCCAUCCCGCGUGCAGGAAGACGGCCCUAUGGGUUGUAAACUGCUUUUGUGCAGGAAGAAUGUGCCCAUCGUGAUGGGUAGUGACGGUACUGCAUGAAUAAGCACCGGCUAACUCCGUGCCAGCAGCCGCGGUAAUACGGAGGGUGCAAGCGUUAUCCGGAUUUAUUGGGUUUAAAGGGUGCGUAGGCGGUAAAAUAAGUCAGUGGUGAAAAGCUGCAGCUCAACUGUAGUCCUGCCAUUGAAACUGUUUUACUUGAGUAACCAUGAGGUAGGCGGAAUGUGUAGUGUAGCGGUGAAAUGCUUAGAUAUUACACAGAACACCGAUUGCGUAGGCAGCUUACUAGCGGUUCACUGACGCUGAUGCACGAAAGCGUGGGGAUCAAACAGGAAUAAUACCCUGGUAUCCAAUCGUACUGGGCC
RNAcentral lists this ribosomal RNA (797 nucleotides) under uncultured bacterium. RNAcentral describes it as "bacterial SSU rRNA". It matches the Rfam family "Bacterial small subunit ribosomal RNA", at positions 10 to 815 of the family's 1533-position model. The record is from RNAcentral.